This 392-nucleotide ribosomal RNA is filed under the name uncultured bacterium. Its description in RNAcentral is "partial 16S ribosomal RNA". It matches the Rfam family "Bacterial small subunit ribosomal RNA", at positions 523 to 918 of the family's 1533-position model. The record is from RNAcentral.
AUACGGAGGAUCCGAGCGUUAUCCGGAUUUAUUGGGUUUAAAGGGUGCGCAGGCGGCCAUUUAAGUCAGCGGUUAAAUCGUGGGGCUCAACCCCAUUCUGCCGUUGAUACUGGGUGGCUUGAUUGCGGUCGAGGUUGGCGGAAUUCGUUGUGAAGCGGUGAAAUGCAUAGAUAUGACGAAGAACACCGAUUGCGUAGGCAGCUGACCAGAUCGCAAAUGACGCUCAUGCACGAAAGUGCGGGGAUCGAACAGGAGUAGAUACCCUGGUAGUCCGCACAGUAAACGAUGAAUACUUGUUUUCGGCGAUAUAAUGUCGGAGGCAAAGCGAAAGCGAUAAGUAUUCCACCUGGGGAGUACGCCGGCAACGGUGAAACUCAAAUGAAUUGGCGGGG